Molecule: ribosomal RNA, 492 nt
Filed under: uncultured bacterium
Lineage: Bacteria
Description: partial 16S ribosomal RNA
Rfam family: Bacterial small subunit ribosomal RNA
Source: RNAcentral
AGUGAACGCUGGCGGUAGGCCUAACUCAUGCAAGUCGAACGGCAGCACAGUAAGAGCUUGCUCUUACGGGUGGCGAGUGGCGGACGGGUGAGGAAUACAUCGGAAUCUACUUUUUCGUGGGGGAUAACGUAGGGAAACUUACGCUAAUACCGCAUACGACCUACGGGUGAAAGCAGGGGAUCUUCGGACCUUGCGCGAUUGAAUGAGCCGAUGUCGGAUUAGCUAGUUGGCGGGGUAAAGGCCCACCAAGGCGACGAUCCGUAGCUGGUCUGAGAGGAUGAUCAGCCACACUGGAACUGAGACACGGUCCAGACUCCUACGGGAGGCAGCAGUGGGGAAUAUUGGACAAUGGGCGCAAGCCUGAUCCAUCCAUACCGCGUGGGUGAAGAAGGCCUUCGGGUUGUAAAGCCCUUUUGUUGGGAAAGAAAAGCAGCAGGUUAAUACCCCGCUGUUCUGACGGUACCCAAAGAAUAAGCACCGGCUAACUUCGUG